CGGACGGGUGAGUAACGCGUGAGAAUCUACCUUGGAGUCGGGGACAACCACGGGAAACUGUGGCUAAUACCGGAUGUGCCGAAAGGUGAAAGAGAAAUCGCCCCAAGAGGAGCUCGCGUCUGAUUAGCUAGUUGGUGAGGUAAAAGCUCCCCAAGGCAUCGAUCAGUAGCUGGUCUGAGAGGACGAUCAGCCACACUGGGACUGAGACACGGCCCAGACUCCUACGGGAGGCAGCAGUGGGGAAUUUUCCGCAAUGGGCGAAAGCCUGACGGAGCAAGACCGCGUGAGGGAGGAAGGCUCUUGGGUUGUAAACCUCUUUUCUCAGGGAAGAAAAAAAUGACGGUACCUGAGGAAUAAGCAUCGGCUAACUCCGUGCCAGCAGCCGCGGUAAUACGGAGGAUGCAAGCGUUAUCCGGAAUGAUUGGGCGUAAAGCGUCCGCAGGUGGCUCUUCAAGUCUGCUGUCAAAGAGCAAGGCUCAACCUUGUCAAGGCAGUGGAAACUGAAAGGCUAGGGUGUGGUAGGGGUAGAGGGAAUUCCCAGUGUAGCGGUGAAAUGCGUAGAGACUGGGAAGAACACCGGUGGCGAAAGCGCUCUACUGGACCUGCACUGACACUGAGGGACGAAAGCUAGGGGAGCGAAUGGGAUUAGAUACCCCAGUAGUC
RNAcentral lists this ribosomal RNA (663 nucleotides) under uncultured cyanobacterium. RNAcentral describes it as "bacterial SSU rRNA". It matches the Rfam family "Bacterial small subunit ribosomal RNA", at positions 99 to 795 of the family's 1533-position model. The record is from RNAcentral. Lineage: Bacteria; Bacillati; Cyanobacteriota.